AUGUGUUCAUUCACUGUUCCUCCGGUCGUGCUGCAGCUGUUCGUGCUGCUCUUCUUGGCCUCUCCCGCCACCGCAUGCACCGAGCAGGAGAAGCACAACCUCCUACGGUUCCUCGACGGGCUUUCGUGUGAUGGUGGCCUCGCCACAUCGUGGCAUAACAACGGCACGGACUGCUGCGAGUGGGAAGGCAUCUCCUGCAAUGGAGAUGGGGCCGUCACCGGGGUCUCCCUGGAGUCUAAAGGACUUGAAGGGCCCAUCUCGCUGUUCCUCACCAAUCUCACCAGCCUGCUGCGCGUCAACCUCUCGCACAACUCGUUCUCCGGUGGUCUUCCGGCGGAGCUCAUGUUCUCCGGAAGCAUCAUCGUCCUCGAUGUCAGCUUCAACCGGCUCAACGGACCGCUGCCCGAGCUUCCGCCUUUGAUUACCACCAACCGGCCUCUGCAAGUACUCAACACCUCAAGCAACCAGUUCAGCUCACAAUUUCCAUCAGCCACAUGGAAGGUGAUGAACAGUCUGAUUGCACUCAACGCCAGCAAUAACAGCUUCAGUGGGAACAUACCAUCUUCUCUCUGCCUUGGGUCACCAUAUUUAGCAUUGCUUGACCUCUGUUACAACCAACUGAGCGGUGACAUACCAAACACGUUGGGUGAUUGUUCCAAGCUCAAAGUGCUCAAGGCUGGCAACAAAAACCUAAGUGGGAUUCUCCCUGUUGAAACCUUCCGCGUUACCUCACUGGAGUACCUCUCCUUCCCCAACAAUGGUUUACAAGGAGAACUUGAUGGAGCACAUAUUGUCAAAGUCAGUAAUCUAGCUACUCUUGACCUUGGAGGGAAUCACUUCAGUGGCAAGAUUCCGGAGUCCAUAGCUCUGCUCAAGAGGCUCGAGGAGCUGCAUUUAGGUAGCAAUAACAUGUCUGGGGAGCUGCCAUCAACUCUGGGCAACUGUACAAAUCUCAAAACCAUCGAUCUGAAGAUCAACAACUUCAGUGGAGAUCUAGGCAAGGUAAACUUCUCCGCCCUGCAGAAUCUAAGAAGUUUAGAUCUCAUGAUGAAUAAUUUCAGUGGCAUCAUUCCAGAAAGCAUUUACUCAUGCAGCAAUUUGGCUGCACUGCGGCUGUCGGCCAACCAUUUCCAUGGUGAGAUCUCACCGAGAAUAGGCAAUCUGAAGCACCUGUCCUUCCUAUCACUUGUUAGAAACUCCUUCACAAACAUCACAAAAUCUUUGCAUGCCCUUAAGAGCUGCAGGAACAUCAGCACUCUGUUUAUUGGCACAAACUUCAUGAAUGAGGCCAUGCCACAAGAUGAAACCAUUGACGGUUUUCAGAAUCUUCAGUUUCUGUCCAUGCAACAAUGUUCGUUUACUGGAAGGAUACCUACUUGGUUAUCAAAGCUUACAAGUCUGAAGAUACUAGUGUUAUCUAAUAAUCAACUCACCGGACCAAUGCCAAGCUGGAACAACUCCAUAAACCACCUCUUCCAUCUGGACGUAUCAAACAACAGUCUUUCUGGGGAAAUCCCAAUCGCCUUGAUGGAGAUGGCAAUGCUAAAAUCAGACAAGCCUGCCAUCUAUUUGGACCCAAACCUCCCUGAUCUACCAAUAUAUAUGAAUCCAUCACUUCAAUACCGCAUGGGCAGUUCUUGGCCUAAAGUGCUGAAUCUCGGUAAAAAUAAAUUCACAGGUGUGAUCCCACAAGAGAUUGGUCAUCUGAAAGCACUCCUUUACCUGAACUUGAGUUUCAACAACUUUUAUGGAGAGAUCCCACAAUCAAUCUGCAACCUCAGGAACCUCCAAGGGCUAGAUUUGUCUAAUAACCAUCUCACGGGUGCAAUCCCUGUGGCAUUGGAGAAUCUUCACUUCCUUUCACGAUUCAACAUUUCUAACAACGACCUAGAAGGACCUAUUCCAGCAGAAGAGCAGCUGAGCACCUUCCAGGCGUCUAGCUUUGACGGGAACCCAAAGCUGUGCGGCUCUGUGCUUACUAACCAUUGCAGUUCAGUUGAAGCAGCUCCCGUCUCCAUCAUCCCUGCAAAACAAUGCAGCGAAAAGAUCAUCUUCGCGAUUGCAUUUGGUGUGUUCUUUGGGGUUGGGGUGCUAUAUGAUCAGUUAGUAUUAUUCAGAUAUUUUGGAUAA
Molecule: ribosomal RNA, 2130 nt
Filed under: Triticum aestivum (bread wheat)
Lineage: Eukaryota; Viridiplantae; Streptophyta; Magnoliopsida; Poales; Poaceae
Description: partial small subunit ribosomal RNA
Source: RNAcentral